This 200-nucleotide ribosomal RNA is filed under the name Lactococcus lactis subsp. lactis bv. diacetylactis str. TIFN4. RNAcentral describes it as "partial 16S ribosomal RNA". It matches the Rfam family "Bacterial small subunit ribosomal RNA", at positions 1 to 195 of the family's 1533-position model. Lineage: Bacteria; Bacillati; Bacillota; Bacilli; Lactobacillales; Streptococcaceae. The record is from RNAcentral.
UUAUUUGAGAGUUUGAUCCUGGCUCAGGACGAACGCUGGCGGCGUGCCUAAUACAUGCAAGUUGAGCGCUGAAGGUUGGUACUUGUACCGACUGGAUGAGCAGCGAACGGGUGAGUAACGCGUGGGGAAUCUGCCUUUGAGCGGGGGACAACAUUUGGAAACGAAUGCUAAUACCGCAUAAAAACUUUAAACACAAGUUU